GUCUAUAGCCAUACCACCCUGAAUGUGCCCGGUAUCAUCUGAUCUUGGAAGCUAAUCAGGGUCAGGUCUGGUUAGUACUUGGAUGGGAGAUUACAGACCCUAUGACU
This 107-nucleotide ribosomal RNA is filed under the name Nannospalax galili (Upper Galilee mountains blind mole rat). Lineage: Eukaryota; Metazoa; Chordata; Mammalia; Rodentia; Spalacidae. The record is from RNAcentral.